RNAcentral lists this ribosomal RNA (500 nucleotides) under Lepas australis. RNAcentral's name for it is "partial 16S ribosomal RNA". It matches the Rfam family "Bacterial large subunit ribosomal RNA", at positions 1833 to 2597 of the family's 2925-position model. Lineage: Eukaryota; Metazoa; Arthropoda; Thecostraca; Lepadidae. The record is from RNAcentral.
UUCUUCCUAUAUAAGGAGGUAAGGCCUGCUCACUGAAUUUUGAAGAGCCGCAGUAUCCUGACUGUGCUAAGGUAGCAUAAUAAUUUGUCUCUUAAUUGGGGACUAGAAUGAAUGGUCUAACGAGAAAUUAACUUUUUUAGGAAUAAUAAUUAAACUUAAUUUUUUAGUGAAAAAGCUAAAAUAAGAUAAAAAGACGAGAAGACCCUAUAGAGUUUUACAUAUAAACUAUUUACAUUUUAAUAACUUUUUAGAAUUGUAAAUAAAGACUAUAUUUUGUUGGGGCGACAUUUAGAUAAAAAAAACUUUUUAUAUUAAAAACUCAAAUUUGAGUAUUUACUGAUCCUUAAAAAAGAUUAAAAGUAUAAAUUACCUUAGGGAUAACAGCGUAAUCUCCCUUGAGAGCUCAAAUCGACAGGGAGGUUUGCGACCUCGAUGUUGGACUAAAAUUAAACUAAGGUGCAGAAGUCUUAGAUUUAGGUCUGUUCGACCUAUAGAUUUUU